Molecule: long non-coding RNA, 227 nt
Filed under: Medicago truncatula (barrel medic)
Lineage: Eukaryota; Viridiplantae; Streptophyta; Magnoliopsida; Fabales; Fabaceae
Description: long non-coding RNA (MTRU_LNC007193)
Source: RNAcentral
ACGGUAGGAAUUGGUUAAAUUGAUGUAGAAAGUGCUCCUAGACCUUAGAUAAUGUUUAGGACGAACUUUGGAAUCAAUAUUAGGCUUAGAACCAUGUGAAUCGUUGAAUUUUUGUGAAAAUAGCAAGUCUGGCCGUAGCGACAUUCAUCGCUCGCCACGGCGAGCUAUGAGUCUCGCCUCGCGAGUGAUGAACAUUCAUCGCUCGCCUCGCGAACCCUUUUCCCUCG